This 65-nucleotide transfer RNA is filed under the name Sus scrofa domesticus (domestic pig). RNAcentral's name for it is "tRNA-Gln". The stretch from base 7 to 64 matches the Rfam family "tRNA", at positions 8 to 63 of the family's 71-position model. Rfam says of the family: Transfer RNA (tRNA) molecules are approximately 80 nucleotides in length. Their secondary structure includes four short double-helical elements and three loops (D, anti-codon, and T loops). Further hydrogen bonds mediate the characteristic L-shaped molecular structure. tRNAs have two regions of fundamental functional importance: the anti-codon, which is responsible for specific mRNA codon recognition, and the 3' end, to which the tRNAs corresponding amino acid is attached (by aminoacyl-tRNA synthetases). tRNAs cope with the degeneracy of the genetic code in two manners: having more than one tRNA (with a specific anti-codon) for a particular amino acid; and 'wobble' base-pairing, i.e. permitting non-standard base-pairing at the 3rd anti-codon position. The record is from RNAcentral. Lineage: Eukaryota; Metazoa; Chordata; Mammalia; Artiodactyla; Suidae.
AGAAUGUGGUGUAUUUUGGUAGCACGGAGAAUUUUGAAUUCUCAGGUUUAGGUUCGAGUCCUAUU